AGCUGGUUUGACACAAUCUACAUUGUUAAAAGCGAUGUGUAGCUGCCGUCAGAAGCAAUGCUUAUAUAUUACACUCUAUAAACAUAAACUUUACAUUAAAAAGUCAAUAAAUAGUUAAAAUGUUCAAAUUAAUCAUUAGAAUAAAUAAGUAAUGUAUAUUUGUUGUUAAUGCAUGUUAAUUCAUUUAAAGUUAUUUAACUAAAACUAUAAGGGGGAGGGGGGAACCUUUUCUUGUUAUGUUUAGCUUGGGAAUUAUUUCAUUGUUGCAAUGAAGAUAUUCUUCCGAUCCACUACAAGUAGUUCAGCCACAAGGUGCUGUGCUAAAACACGUUUUUAAGGAUUCAAAAGUACAAAGAAGUUUGUUAAAGAGAAACUGCAACCCUUCAAGUUUAUUCCUCUUGAGUUAGAGAGGCCAAUGAGUUCUGACGGCAAUAUUGGGACAUAAAGGAGUGCAAGGCUAGAAUGUACAAGACAUACUACAGACUCGUGUCCGAAUAAAUGUCAGUUAAAAUCAA
This is a non-coding RNA of Danio rerio (zebrafish), 515 nucleotides long. NCBI's taxonomy places the organism in Eukaryota, Metazoa, Chordata, Actinopteri, Cypriniformes, Danionidae. The record is from RefSeq and is a predicted model, not a curated record.